CCUACGGGAGGCAGCAGUGGGGAAUUUUGGACAAUGGGGGGAACCCUGAUCCAGCCAUUCCGCGUGUGCGAUGAAGGCCUUCGGGUUGUAAAGCACUUUUGGCAGGAAAGAAAUCGCACGGAUUAAUACUUUGUGUGGAUGACGGUACCUGCAGAAUAAGCACCGGCUAACUACGUGCCAGCAGCCGCGGUAAUACGUAGGGUGCAAGCGUUAAUCGGAAUUACUGGGCGUAAAGCGUGCGCAGGCGGUUCGGAAAGAGAGGUGUGAAAUCCCAGGGCUUAACCUUGGAACUGCACUUUUAACUCCCGAGCUAGAGUAUGUCAGAGGGGGGUGGAAUUCCGCGUGUAGCAGUGAAAUGCGUAGAUAUGCGGAGGAACACCGAUGGCGAAGGCAGCCCCCUGGGAUGAUACUGACGCUCAUGCACGAAAGCGUGGGGAGCAAACAGGAUUAGAUACCCUGGUAGUCCACGCCCUAAACGAUGUCAACUAGCUGUUGGGGGCUUCGGCCCUUAGUAGCGCAGCUAACGCGUGAAGUUGACCGCCUGGGGAGUACGGUCGCAAGAUUAAAACUCAAAUGAAUUGACGG
This 585-nucleotide ribosomal RNA is filed under the name uncultured bacterium. RNAcentral describes it as "bacterial SSU rRNA". It matches the Rfam family "Bacterial small subunit ribosomal RNA", at positions 338 to 916 of the family's 1533-position model. The record is from RNAcentral.